This 500-nucleotide ribosomal RNA is filed under the name uncultured bacterium. RNAcentral's name for it is "bacterial SSU rRNA". It matches the Rfam family "Bacterial small subunit ribosomal RNA", at positions 24 to 518 of the family's 1533-position model. The record is from RNAcentral.
UCAGGAUGAACGCUGGCGGCGUGCCUAAUACAUGCAAGUCGAACGAGGGUAGCAAUACUCGAGUGGCGAACGGGUGAGUAACACGUAGGUAACCUGCCUUACAGUUUGGGAUACCCGAGGGAAACCUUGGCUAAUACCGAAUAAUUCUUCUGAAGGCAUCUUCGGAAGCUAAAAGGGGCCUUUAAAGCCUCGCUGAAUGAUGGACCUGCGGCGCAUUAGCUGGUUGGUGAGAUAAUAGCCCACCAAGGCGAGGAUGCGUAGCCGACCUAAGAGGGUGAACGGCCACACUGGAACUGAGACACGGUCCAGACUCCUACGGGAGGCAGCAGUAGGGAGUUUUCGGCAAUGGGGGAAACCCUGACCGAGCAACGCCGCGUGAACGAUGAAGGUCUUCAGAUUGUAAAGUUCUGUUAUAAGGGAAGAAUGAUAGCUUGAGGAAAUGCUAGUUAUUUGACGGUACCUUAUUAGAAAGCCACGGCUAACUACGUGCCAGCCGCGGC